UCCGUAGGUGAACCUGCGGAGGAUCACUA
This 29-nucleotide ribosomal RNA is filed under the name Inocybe cryptocystis. RNAcentral describes it as "partial 18S ribosomal RNA". The record is from RNAcentral. Lineage: Eukaryota; Fungi; Basidiomycota; Agaricomycetes; Agaricales; Inocybaceae.